Molecule: ribosomal RNA, 265 nt
Filed under: uncultured bacterium
Lineage: Bacteria
Description: partial 16S ribosomal RNA
Rfam family: Bacterial small subunit ribosomal RNA
Source: RNAcentral
GUCCACACCGUAAACGUUGGGCGCUAGGUGUGGGACUCAUUCCACGAGUUCCGUGCCGCAGCUAACGCAUUAAGCGCCCCGCCUGGGGAGUACGGCCGCAAGGCUAAAACUCAAAGGAAUUGACGGGGGCCCCGCACAAGCGGCGGAGCAUGCGGAUUAAUUCGAUGCAACGCGAAGAACCUUACCUAGGUUUGACAUAUACGAGAAGCCUCUAGAGAUAGAGGUCUCUUUGGACACUUGUAUACAGGUGGUGCAUGGCUGUCGU